This 468-nucleotide ribosomal RNA is filed under the name uncultured bacterium. RNAcentral describes it as "partial 16S ribosomal RNA". It matches the Rfam family "Bacterial small subunit ribosomal RNA", at positions 28 to 507 of the family's 1533-position model. The record is from RNAcentral.
GACGAACGCUGGCGGCGUGCUUAACACAUGCAAGUCGAACGGAAAGGCCCUGCUUUUGUGGGUUGCUCGAGUGGCGAACGGGUGAGUAACACGUGAGUAACCUGCCCUUGACUUUGGGAUAACUUCAGGAAACUGGGGCUAAUACCUGAUAGGAGCUCCUGCUGCAUGGUGGGGGUUGGAAAGUUUCGGCGGUUGGGGAUGGACUCGCGGCUUAUCAGCUUGUUGGUGGGGUAGUGGCUUACCAAGGCUUUGACGGGUAGCCGGCCUGAGAGGGUGACCGGCCACAUUGGGACUGAGAUACGGCCCAGACUCCUACGGGAGGCAGCAGUGGGGAAUAUUGCACAAUGGGCGGAAGCCUGAUGCAGCAACGCCGCGUGCGGGAUGACGGCCUUCGGGUUGUAAACCGCUUUAGCCUGUGACGAAGCGGGAGUGACGGUAAUGGGUAAAGAAGCACCGGCUAACUACGUG